AUUGAACGCUGGCGGCAUGCCUAACACAUGCAAGUCGAACGGAAACGAUGGGAGCUUGCUCCCAGGCGUCGAGUGGCGGACGGGUGAGUAAUACUUAGGAAUCUGCCCAGUAGUGGGGGACAACAUUCGGAAACGGAUGCUAAUACCGCAUACGCACUACGGUGGAAAGUGGGGGACCUUCGGGCCUCACGCUAUUGGAUGAGCCUAAGUCGGAUUAGCUUGUUGGUAGGGUAAUGGCCUACCAAGGCGACGAUCCGUAGCUGGUCUGAGAGGACGAUCAGCCACACUGGGACUGAGACACGGCCCAGACUCCUACGGGAGGCAGCAGUGGGGAAUAUUGGACAAUGGGCGCAAGCCUGAUCCAGCAAUGCCGCGUGUGUGAAGAAGGCCUGCGGGUUGUAAAGCACUUUCAGUAGAGAAGAAAAGCUUAGGGUUAAUAACCCUGAGUCUUGACGUAACCUACAGAAGAAGCACCGGCUAACUCCGUG
RNAcentral lists this ribosomal RNA (488 nucleotides) under uncultured Gammaproteobacteria bacterium. RNAcentral describes it as "bacterial SSU rRNA". It matches the Rfam family "Bacterial small subunit ribosomal RNA", at positions 30 to 507 of the family's 1533-position model. Lineage: Bacteria; Pseudomonadati; Pseudomonadota; Gammaproteobacteria. The record is from RNAcentral.